UUUUGUUUUGAGGUAACACUCAUACACACAUUUUACAAAGGCAAAAGGAGCUUGAUAACAAUGAAGCAUAGAUUAGAUUCCUAUCUUGUCUAGCACCCUGCACCGAAGCUUCUAAACCUGCACAUUAGUAUCAUAUUUUAAAUUUCCAUUUCCCGGUUAACCAAGUAAAUCUAGGCUUUUAGCAUAGUAGCUUCUACUAUCCGUUGAGACAGGCACAAUUUUUUAAUUUUAUUUUAUGUCCAGUUUUAUAGCUGAUUAUUCAAUUAUUCAAUUGUUAGCUCGAAUAAUUAAAUCGCGCAAAGUAGGGGAGCCUAAGACAAUCACAUGGAAGUUUAAAACAUUUCUCAAACAUUAUCGACCUUAAACCAAUUGAUUACUCAUCCCAAUAUUUAUAUCUUGCUUUAUAAAGCAAAUUUUAAUUAGUCAUCAAAAACUAGGAAAUAAAUAUUCAUUGUAUUGUUAUGGGACUCAUUAAACUACAAUAUUUUAAUUUAAAAUUGCUCUCGCUUUUUCAACAUCAAUCCCUAAAUAUAAGAUGUAUUUUAAGUAGUUAGAAAUACUUUUUUAUUUAGAAAAAUAAUUAUUGUAAAUAAAUACUACCGCCUUUCAAACAGAUUACUUUAGAAAAAAAUUUAAAUAUACAAUUUUAUAAGUAUUUUUGGUGGAGUUCUUCAACUAGAGUUAAAAAAAUUUCCUGAUAAUUUAUAUUGACUUUUAAUGUAAUUUAUUACUGCACGUAUUAUAAUAAUGUGAAUCUUCAAUUUUUUUCCACCAAAAAUAUAUAAAUAGUUAAACAAUUAAUCUAAAUUUUGUCUUUUACUAGUACUUCAAUACUAUAUAUAAAAAAAGUUGUCUUUUACUUUCUCAGCCAGCCUUAGUAAAUCCGUUUUAUUUUUUUUCUUUUCCUCUUUAAUUUAUCCCCUAUCAUCAGACACACCGCAGGUUUUAACCUGUCUAAGGAGUUAGGGGGGAAUCAAUCCGGAAUGCAAACUUUAAGACGAUAGAUAAUCAAUGUUUGUUGAGUAAUUUAGUGAGAUAAUGACCAUACAGUGAUACCCUCAUUUUCCGAGAAAUUUAAUUUCCAUGAGAAGUGUGACCAAACACCAAAAUUUACGGAACUUGGUGUUUCUGGGCUGUAGGCUGUAGCUCAUUAAAUGCACCUCAGAGAGAAAGAGAGAGCUGAGACCAAUUCAUCAUCCCAGGUUGGUCUUUUUGUGAUUUCGGAAAACGCGAAGCAGGCCUUCAGUCAUUUGGCACUGGGUGUUCAAAUAUGUGUUAAUGGAAGAAAAAAACAAUUUAACUAAAAAUAGCAUACUUAAAAGCCUACAAUAUUAAAAUCUUAUUAUUCAGUAUGCUGAUAUUUUUUAAAUAUUAAAAUUAAUAAUAGAAAUAUUUUUUUAAAUAAAUUAAAAAUUACGACAAAAAUGCAUAUAAUAAAUUUUAAUUAUUAUAUACAUUUUUAUCAUAAUUUUAGCUAGUCUUCAUGGCUUAUGCCUGUUGCAAAUCUUUGCUUCCUCCGUUGACAAUACCUUUGGGUGGCGAAUUUUCGUAUACAAGACCUCCAAGGAGAGGUGUUCUGUGGAAGCUCCAGUGAGCAAUGGCGAUAGCAAUUCACCCUUCUCAGCGGUUUCUCCUCUCCGUUUCUAUAACCCUAACCCUCGUCCAUCGUGGCGCCUCAAAUUCCAAAAUCGUUUGCCAUUCUGAGCUUUUGCAGGAUCUGAGCUUCCCAUGCAUAGAGCAACAAAGAAGACGACGUGUUGAUGGGAAAGAGAAAUGGUUAGGUUUUUUUUUUUUUUUUUUUUUUCUGGUUUUUUAAUUAAAUAAAAAUGCAUGUUUAUCCAUUGUUUUGGACAGAUGUUGAAUAAAGAGAAAAUGAUUUUUCGGUAUAAGUUAAAAGGUGUUGAAUGCUAAUAUAAAAUGAUUUGAAGGGAACUUUAAAAUGAUUUUUAAGAUAUUAAAAUAAUUCGUUAAAUUAAAAAGUAUCUUUAAUUCUUUUUUUAAAAAAUGAUUAUUAAAGUAUUAUAAAUACUUUUAUUUAAUAUUUCUUUUUAGUCAAUGAUAAAAUUAAUGUGUUUAUUUUUCUGUUAAAAUAUUAUUAAUCAUAAGUAACAUUUUAUUAUUUUUAAUUUAAAAUAUUUCUUUCUGUUAAAAGAACAUAUACUAAUGUUUUUAUAUUAGUAUAUAUAUAAAUAAUACAUAUUUGGGAAAGAAUUAAAUCUACCUGUAUAAUUAAAUAUACCAUGCCAAAAAAAAAAACAAUUCUAUAUUAUUCUUAAGUAAAUUUACUAACUUCUUUACUGUCAAUCUUCUCAAUUUUUUUUACAAAUAAUACACUUCCCACAAAAUUUAGAUUAUACAUUCAUUUACACAAAAAAAAACUUUGGUGGAAAGUCAUAGCAUUUUCAAGUUUAUCUUCUUUACAUUUUUAGAAAGAAAAAAAAACAAACAUUUCAAUUGUUUCUAGCAACAUCCAUUAUUUUAUUUUAAAGUAAACUCAAAGUUUUUAAGCUUAUAAAUUGUUAAAAUAGCUCUAAAUUAGGAGAAAUAUGAAAAAGUUUGACAUGUUCAAUGGGAGACUCAUUCACUCCUAAUACUAUUAUAGUUCAUUUAAUACUUACUAUAGUUUUUUUAAAUAUCAAAAAAUUAAAAAUUGAUUUAUAAAAAUAUUAUUUAAGAAUUUAUUUUUCAUAUAUUAUUAAUUUAAAAAAAAGUUAUGUUGUCAAUCACUCAAAAAACAUCUUAAGUAUCACUUUUACAACAUGAAAGGUAAUAAAGUGGUCUAAAUCCUAGUGACAAUGAAAAUCAAAUGAUGAUAAAUGCUAUUGAUGGAAGGAGGUCCUAUGGGAAAAGAAGAGGAAAUUUCAACAAUUAAGAUAUGUACUUACAGUGGAAAAAGUUGUCCAUGUUGUAGAAACCUGCUAUUGCAACUACCUCACAACACAAAAAUAUACUCUUACUACACUUUCCUGCCUUGAACUUUUAUGGAUGUCCCCG
This 2994-nucleotide long non-coding RNA is filed under the name Glycine max (soybean). Its description in RNAcentral is "long non-coding RNA (GMAX_LNC004460)". Lineage: Eukaryota; Viridiplantae; Streptophyta; Magnoliopsida; Fabales; Fabaceae. The record is from RNAcentral.